AUACGUAGGGGGCGAGCGUUGUCCGGAAUGAUUGGGCGUAAAGGGCGCGUAGGCGGCCCGGUAAGUCUGGAGUGAAAGUCCUGUUUUUAAGAUGGGAAUUGCUUUGGAUACUGUCGGGCUUGAGUGCAGGAGAGGUAAGUGGAAUUCCCAGUGUAGCGGUGAAAUGCGUAGAGAUUGGGAGGAACACCAGUGGCGAAGGCGGAUUACUGGACGGUAACUGACGCUGAUGCGCGAAAGUGUGGGGAGCAAACAGGAUUAGAUACCCUGGUAGUCCACACUGUAACCGAUGAAUGCUAGGUGUAGGGGGUAUCGACCCCUUCUGUGCCGCAGUCAACACAAUAAGCAUUCCGCCUGGGGAGUACGGCCGCAAGGUUGAAACUCAAAGGAAUUGACGGGG
This 397-nucleotide ribosomal RNA is filed under the name uncultured bacterium. Its description in RNAcentral is "partial 16S ribosomal RNA". It matches the Rfam family "Bacterial small subunit ribosomal RNA", at positions 523 to 918 of the family's 1533-position model. The record is from RNAcentral.